Molecule: ribosomal RNA, 1437 nt
Filed under: metagenome
Description: bacterial SSU rRNA
Rfam family: Bacterial small subunit ribosomal RNA
Source: RNAcentral
AGAGUUUGAUCCUGGCUCAGGGUUAACGCUGGCGGUAUGUAUAAUACAUGCAAGUCGAGCGCCCCUUUAUUGGGGAGCGGCGAACGGGUGAGUAACACGUUGGAACCUACCUCGAACUCAGGGAUAACAUCUAGAAAUAGGUGCUAAUACCGGAUAGUCCCGCGGCCUUUUGGGUCGUGGGUAAAGCUUUUGCGGUUCGAGAGGGUCCUGCGGCCUAUCAGCUUGUUGGUAAGGUAACGGCUUACCAAGGCUUUGACGGGUAGCUGGUCUGAGAGGACGAUCAGCCACAAUGGGACUGAGACACGGCCCAUACUCCUACGGGAGGCAGCAGUAAAGAGUCUUCCACAAUGGACGAAAGUCUGAUGGAGCAAUACCGCGUGGGUGAUGAAGGUCGAAAGAUUGUAAAGCCCUUUUCUGAGGGAAGAAUUCUGACGGUACCUCAGGAAUAAGCACCGGCUAACUCCGUGCCAGCAGCCGCGGUAAUACGGAGGGUGCAAGCGUUACCCGGAAUCAUUGGGCGUAAAGCGUCCGCAGGCGGCAAUUUAAGUCGAAUAUUAAAUCUCGGGGCCCAACCUCGAGGCUGUAUUCGAAACUAUCUUGCUAGAGUUUUCCAGAGGCAUGCGGAAUUCUGUGUGUAGGGGUAAAAUCCGUAGAUACACAGAGGAACACCAAAAGCGAAGGCAGCAUGCUGGGGAAAUACUGACGCUCAUGGACGAAAGCGUGGGUAGCGAACGGGAUUAGAUACCCCGGUAGUCCACGCCGUAAACGAUGGAUACUAGUUGUUGGUCCGCUCGAACGGAUCAGUGACGACGCUAACGCAUUAAGUAUCCCGCCUGUGGAGUACGGUCGCAAGACUAAAACAUAAAGGAAUAGACGGGGACCCACACAAGCGGUGGAGCACCUGGCUUAAUUCGAUAAUGAGCGAGGAACCUUACCUAGGUUUGACAUCUCGGGAAUUCUUUAGAAAUAAAGAAGUGCCUUAUGGAACCCGAUGACAGGUGCUGCAUGGUUGUCGUCAGCUCGUGCCUUGAGGUGUUCGGUUAAGUCCGUAAACGAGCGCAACCCAUGUCCUGUGUUGCAUUUUUCACAGGAGACUGCCUCGCCAAACGAGGAGGAAGGUAUGGAUGACGUCAAAUCAGCAUGGCCCUUAUACCUAGGGCUGCACAGGUGCUACAAUGGCUAGUACAAUGGGUAGCAAUGUCGCAAGGCGGAGCCAAUCCCAAAAGCUAGUCUAAGUUCGAAUUGAGUGCUGCAACUCGCACUCAUGAAGUUGGAAUCGCUAGUAACCGCGGAUCAGCAAUGGCGCGGUGAAUGUGUUCCUGGGUCUUGUACUCACCGCCCGUCAAGUCAUGAAAGGUGGGGGCGCCCGAAGUACCCUUAGCUUCUAGCGGGGUCCUAAGGUGAAACCACUGAUUGGGACUAAGUCGUAACAAGGUA